RNAcentral lists this transfer RNA (85 nucleotides) under Sphaerimonospora mesophila. RNAcentral's name for it is "tRNA-Leu". It matches the Rfam family "tRNA". From Rfam's summary of the family: Transfer RNA (tRNA) molecules are approximately 80 nucleotides in length. Their secondary structure includes four short double-helical elements and three loops (D, anti-codon, and T loops). RNAcentral also lists the same sequence under 2 other names. Lineage: Bacteria; Bacillati; Actinomycetota; Actinomycetes; Streptosporangiales; Streptosporangiaceae. The record is from RNAcentral.
GCGCGCGUGGUGAAAUUGGUAUACACGUAUGCCUUAGGAGCAUAUGCCUUCGGGCGUGGAGGUUCAAGUCCUCUCGCGCGCACCA